UGGGGAAUAUUGCACAAUGGGGGAAACCCUGAUGCAGCGACGCCGCGUGAACGAAGAAGGUAUUCGUAUCGUAAAGUUCUGUCCUAUGGGAAGAUAAUGACAGUACCAUAGAAGAAAGCUCCGGCUAAAUACGUGCCAGCAGCCGCGGUAAUACGUAUGGAGCGAGCGUUGUCCGGAAUUAUUGGGCGUAAAGGGUACGCAGGCUGUUUAAUAAGUUGAAUGUGAAAGAACAGGGCUCAACCCCGCAAAGCAAUGGAAACUGAUAAAGUUGAAGAGUGGAGAGGAAGGGAGAAUUCCUAGUGUAGUGGUGAAAUACGUAGAUAUUAGGAGGAAUACCAGUAGCGAAGGCGACUUUCUGGACACAAACUGACGCUGAGGUACGAAAGCGUGGGGAGCAAAAAGG
RNAcentral lists this ribosomal RNA (403 nucleotides) under bacterium. RNAcentral's name for it is "partial 16S ribosomal RNA". It matches the Rfam family "Bacterial small subunit ribosomal RNA", at positions 355 to 776 of the family's 1533-position model. The record is from RNAcentral.